Molecule: ribosomal RNA, 413 nt
Filed under: Physaraia sp.
Lineage: Eukaryota; Metazoa; Arthropoda; Insecta; Hymenoptera; Braconidae
Description: partial 16S ribosomal RNA
Source: RNAcentral
GUCUUAAAGAAUGUUAAUUUUAAGUCUAAUCUGCCCACUGAAAUAAUUUAAAUGGCUGCAAUAUUUUAAUUGCACUAAGGUAGCAUAAUAAUUUGUUUUUUAAUUGAAAACUAGAAUGAAAGAUUAAAUGAAAUAAAAACUGUUUCUAUUAAAAUUUAAUUAAAUUUAUUAUUUAAGUAAAAAAACUUAAAUUUUAUAUAAAGACGAUAAGACCCUAUAGAAUUUUAUUUAUUUAAUAUAAAUAUUUUUAUUUUAUAAAUUUAAUUGGGGUAAUUAAAAAAUUUAUUAAAUUUUUUUUAAAAAACACAUAAAUAAAUGAAUUUUAUAUCUUAAUUUUUAAAUUAAAAAAAUUAAUUACCUUAGGGAUAACAGCAUAAUUUUUUUUGAUAGUUCUUAUAGAUAAAAAAGAUUAU